CCCCAGACUCCUACGGGAGGCAGCAGUGGGGAAUAUUGCACAAUGGGGGAAACCCUGAUGCAGCGACGCCGCGUGAAGGAAGAAGUAUUUCGGUAUGUAAACUUCUUUCAGCAGGGAAGAAAAUGACGGUACCUGACUAAGAAGCACCGGCUAACUCCGUGCCAGCAGCCGCGGUAAUACGUAGGGGGCAAGCGUUAUCCGGAUUUACUGGGUGUAAAGGGGGCGCAGACGGCGAUGCAAGCCAGGAGUGAAAGCCCGGGGCCCAACCCCGGGACUGCUCUUGGAACUGCGUGGCUGGAGUGCAGGAGGGGCAGGCGGAAUUCCUGGUGUAGCGGUGAAAUGCGUAGAUAUCAGGAGGAACACCGGUGGCGAAGGCGGCCUGCUGGACUGCAACUGACGUUGAGACCCGAAAGCGUGGGGAGCAAACAGGAUUAGAUACCCCCGUAACU
Molecule: ribosomal RNA, 449 nt
Filed under: uncultured bacterium
Lineage: Bacteria
Description: bacterial SSU rRNA
Rfam family: Bacterial small subunit ribosomal RNA
Source: RNAcentral